Molecule: long non-coding RNA, 1071 nt
Organism: Bos taurus (domestic cattle)
Lineage: Eukaryota; Metazoa; Chordata; Mammalia; Artiodactyla; Bovidae
Source: Ensembl
AUUCAUAAAAAACGCGACCUGAGGGGGAAGCUUAGCUGAGUCAGUGAAGCACUUAAAGGGGCAGAGAGCCUCGAGGAGCCGCCGUUCCUUCCUCGCAGCUCUCUCUCAACUUUUUAGCGAGUUUAUAACCGCCAGAGUGGGUUUUAGGACCCGAGAUGAGAGAGGGUCGGCGCUCAAAGAAAUCCUCUCCAGAGACGACGCCAGUCAGUCAGCCGACCUAGAAACAUAAAUCCCUCCGAAAGGGGCUUACAGAGGUAGAUCGCCUGCCUCCCUCCUGGGGCUGCUGUUUUCCAUUUAAGUGUUGAAUGCAAGAUGGUGUAUUUGCGAAUUAGAUCCCGUGCAGCUGGGAACGAGGAGAAGCUACUCUGCUUGCCAAACGACCGGGCACUAACUGCAAUUGCUGAGAUUCUUAACACAGUGUUCCAGGAAACAAAUAAGCAAUCCUCUCCCCUCUCCGCCCGCUCUGUCCCCUCCUGUGAAGGCCGUGGGGCAGCUCUCUAUUCUCCCAGGAUCCUGGGGCUUGUGAGGGAGUUCUUCUGUUCUCGUUUGUGUGCCCUGCCAUUCACCUCAUGUGCCAGGGGUGGAGAGGGAAGAAGCCAAAUAUCAAGAGAGAGCCCCUAAUAAAAGGGGGCCCUAGUCAACUCUGGUGCUGCCUCCUACCACCAUGGGCCUGGAGUGUGGAUUUUAGAGAAAAAAAAAUUUUUUUAAGUCAAAAUUUGCCUACUUUCUUUUCUGCUUCCACUUAGGGUUCUUGUCAGUCACUCAGUCAGGUCCCACUCUUUGAGGCCCUGUGGAUUGUAGCCCACCAGGCUCUGCUGUCCAUGGGAUUCUCCACAUAAGAACACUGGAGUGGGUUGCCAUGCUUUCCUCCAGGGGAUCUUCCUGACCCAGGGACCAAACCCAGGUCUCCUGCAUUGCAGGCAGAUUCUUUACCAUCCGAACCACCAGGGAAGCCUUGGUCUGUUGUUUAUAGCCAAGAAAGAUCGAAUUUCACCAAGGGAAACCUGGAAUUCCUAGGCCCAGUGCUGACAAGGCAUGAACCUUUGCAAAAGAAUGGGAUGGGCAUGUGGG